Non-coding RNA from Enterococcus columbae, 193 nucleotides. It matches the Rfam family "6S / SsrS RNA". From Rfam's summary of the family: E. coli 6S RNA was the first non coding RNA to be sequenced, but its function was unknown until recently. It consists of 184 nucleotides that fold into an extended hairpin structure with a large single-stranded internal bulge. NCBI's taxonomy places the organism in Bacteria, Bacillati, Bacillota, Bacilli, Lactobacillales, Enterococcaceae. The record is from Rfam.
GGAAGUCUGUGAUGUGCGCAUUCUCCCUUUAGUGUGUUGACCGAACAUUGUUAUUGAUAUUUUGGGAUCCGUCCGGUUUCUUAGCUGGUAACAAGCCUUUUCCUUUGGUAGUUCAAAGCUAUGAACGUGGAGCCCACCUGCUAGUUUGCGGGAUCAAUACCUCGGGAUAAUAAACGGCAUCAACGGAUGAACC